CUCCUUUGACGUUAGCGGCGGACGGGUGAGUAACACGUGGGUAACCUACCUAUAAGACUGGGAUAACUUCGGGAAACCGGAGCUAAUACCGGAUAAUAUUUAGAACCGCAUGGUUCGAUAGUGAAAGAUGGUUUUGCUAUCACUUAUAGAUGGACCCGCGCCGUAUUAGCUAGUUGGUAAGGUAACGGCUUACCAAGGCGACGAUACGUAACCGACCUGAGAGGGUGAUAGGCCACACUGGAACUGAGACACGGUCCAGACUCCUACGGGAGGCAGCAGAC
RNAcentral lists this ribosomal RNA (281 nucleotides) under uncultured Staphylococcus sp. RNAcentral describes it as "partial 16S ribosomal RNA". It matches the Rfam family "Bacterial small subunit ribosomal RNA", at positions 81 to 354 of the family's 1533-position model. Lineage: Bacteria; Bacillati; Bacillota; Bacilli; Caryophanales; Staphylococcaceae. The record is from RNAcentral.